CUCCUUUGACGUUAGCGGCGGACGGGUGAGUAACACUGGGUAACCUACCUAUAAGACUGGGAUAACUUCGGGAAACCGGAGCUAAUACCGGAUAAUAUUUCGAACCGCAUGGUUCGAUAGUGAAAGGUGGUUUUGCUACCACUUAUAGAUGGACCCGCGCCGUAUUAGCUAGUUGGUAAGGUAACGGCUUACCAAGGCGACGAUACGUAGCCGACCUGAGAGGGUGAUCGGCCACACUGGAACUGAGACACGGUCCAGACUCCUACGGGAGGCAGCAGCU
Molecule: ribosomal RNA, 280 nt
Filed under: uncultured Staphylococcus sp.
Lineage: Bacteria; Bacillati; Bacillota; Bacilli; Caryophanales; Staphylococcaceae
Description: partial 16S ribosomal RNA
Rfam family: Bacterial small subunit ribosomal RNA
Source: RNAcentral